Xiphias gladius (swordfish) is the source of this 479-nucleotide long non-coding RNA. RefSeq lists it as uncharacterized. The record is from RefSeq and is a predicted model, not a curated record. NCBI's taxonomy places the organism in Eukaryota, Metazoa, Chordata, Actinopteri, Istiophoriformes, Xiphiidae. The transcript has 4 exons.
CAGUGCCGGUCAGAUCUAAUUAAUUUAUGCUGCAUAAACUGGGCCGACUGGCUCACCUUCCCCACUGGGUGUGUCGGAUAAAAUAGAGAAGCGUAACCGUGACUCCGCAUUUUAUGCGGCCCCGCUUCAGACUGAAAGUUUACAGCUGUGCUCCGGGCUCAUACGAACCAACUGCAGAACCAUGGCUGCAGUCACCAUUGAAUACUGUAAAGGAUGAAGUUACGCGUUCCGCUACCAGGAACUGGCCGGUCACAUCAGGCAGAUUCCUGGUGUGCAGGUGACGGGAGUCAAAGGGAAACCAAACAGCUUUGAGGUGUCAGUGAAUGGUCAGCUGAUCUUCUCCAAGCUUAAGACGGGAUCGUUUCCUGAUCCUGAAGAGGUGACAGAAAUGGUGAAGGAGAUGGUCCAAGGAGAAAAACAGGCGAAAACUUCAAAACAUCAGAAGAACAAAUGCACUCAUCAUUAGAGGAUGGGAGGAU